Molecule: ribosomal RNA, 554 nt
Filed under: uncultured bacterium
Lineage: Bacteria
Description: partial 16S ribosomal RNA
Rfam family: Bacterial small subunit ribosomal RNA
Source: RNAcentral
UAGGGAAUCUUCCACAAUGGACGAAAGUCUGAUGGAGCAACGCCGCGUGAGUGAAGAAGGUUUUCGGAUCGUAAAGCUCUGUUGUUGGUGAAGAAGGAUAGAGGCAGUAACUGGUCUUUAUUUGACGGUAAUCAACCAGAAAGUCACGGCUAACCACGUGCCAGCAGCCGCGGUAAUACGUAGGUGGCAAGCGUUGUCCGGAUUUAUUGGGCGUAAAGCGAGCGCAGGCGGAAUGAUAAGUCCGAUGUGAAAGCCCACGGCUCAACCGUGGAACUGCAUCGGAAACUGUCAUUCUUGAGUGCAGAAGAGGAGAGUGGAACUCCAUGUGUAGCGGUGGAAUGCGUAGAUAUAUGGAAGAACACCAGUGGCGAAGGCGGCUCUCUGGUCUGCAACUGACGCUGAGGCUCGAAAGCAUGGGUAGCGAACAGGAUUAGAUACCCUGGUAGUCCAUGCCGUAAACGAUGAGCGCUAGGUGUUGGGGACUUUCCGGUCCUCAGUGCCGCAGCAAACGCAUUAAGCGCUCCGCCUGGGGAGUACGACCGCAAGGUUGAAAC